MicroRNA precursor from Oreochromis niloticus (Nile tilapia), 60 nucleotides. The record is from Ensembl. Lineage: Eukaryota; Metazoa; Chordata; Actinopteri; Cichliformes; Cichlidae.
CAGUGAGCAUUGAUCAAUGGCCAUGCAAAUUCUCAUUACCAUUGAUCAACAACCACUGAU